This 1324-nucleotide ribosomal RNA is filed under the name Staphylococcus aureus. RNAcentral describes it as "partial 23S ribosomal RNA". It matches the Rfam family "Bacterial large subunit ribosomal RNA", at positions 135 to 1461 of the family's 2925-position model. The record is from RNAcentral. Lineage: Bacteria; Bacillati; Bacillota; Bacilli; Caryophanales; Staphylococcaceae.
GAGUUAUGUCAUGUUAUCGAUAUGUGAAUACAUAGCAUAUCAGAAGGCACACCCGGAGAACUGAAACAUCUUAGUACCCGGAGGAAGAGAAAGAAAAUUCGAUUCCCUUAGUAGCGGCGAGCGAAACGGGAAGAGCCCAAACCAACAAGCUUGCUUGUUGGGGUUGUAGGACACUCUAUACGGAGUUACAAAGGACGACAUUAGACGAAUCAUCUGGAAAGAUGAAUCAAAGAAGGUAAUAAUCCUGUAGUCGAAAAUGUUGUCUCUCUUGAGUGGAUCCUGAGUACGACGGAGCACGUGAAAUUCCGUCGGAAUCUGGGAGGACCAUCUCCUAAGGCUAAAUACUCUCUAGUGACCGAUAGUGAACCAGUACCGUGAGGGAAAGGUGAAAAGCACCCCGGAAGGGGAGUGAAAUAGAACCUGAAACCGUGUGCUUACAAGUAGUCAGAGCCCGUUAAUGGGUGAUGGCGUGCCUUUUGUAGAAUGAACCGGCGAGUUACGAUUUGAUGCAAGGUUAAGCAGUAAAUGUGGAGCCGUAGCGAAAGCGAGUCUGAAUAGGGCGUUUAGUAUUUGGUCGUAGACCCGAAACCAGGUGAUCUACCCUUGGUCAGGUUGAAGUUCAGGUAACACUGAAUGGAGGACCGAACCGACUUACGUUGAAAAGUGAGCGGAUGAACUGAGGGUAGCGGAGAAAUUCCAAUCGAACCUGGAGAUAGCUGGUUCUCUCCGAAAUAGCUUUAGGGCUAGCCUCAAGUGAUGAUUAUUGGAGGUAGAGCACUGUUUGGACGAGGGGCCCCUCUCGGGUUACCGAAUUCAGACAAACUCCGAAUGCCAAUUAAUUUAACUUGGGAGUCAGAACAUGGGUGAUAAGGUCCGUGUUCGAAAGGGAAACAGCCCAGACCACCAGCUAAGGUCCCAAAAUAUAUGUUAAGUGGAAAAGGAUGUGGCGUUGCCCAGACAACUAGGAUGUUGGCUUAGAAGCAGCCAUCAUUUAAAGAGUGCGUAAUAGCUCACUAGUCGAGUGACACUGCGCCGAAAAUGUACCGGGGCUAAACAUAUUACCGAAGCUGUGGAUUGUCCUUUGGACAAUGGUAGGAGAGCGUUCUAAGGGCGUUGAAGCAUGAUCGUAAGGACAUGUGGAGCGCUUAGAAGUGAGAAUGCCGGUGUGAGUAGCGAAAGACGGGUGAGAAUCCCGUCCACCGAUUGACUAAGGUUUCCAGAGGAAGGCUCGUCCGCUCUGGGUUAGUCGGGUCCUAAGCUGAGGCCGACAGGCGUAGGCGAUGGAUAACAGGUUGAUAUUCCUGUACCACCUAUAAUCGUUUUA